RNAcentral lists this ribosomal RNA (570 nucleotides) under uncultured bacterium. Its description in RNAcentral is "partial 16S ribosomal RNA". It matches the Rfam family "Bacterial small subunit ribosomal RNA", at positions 355 to 912 of the family's 1533-position model. The record is from RNAcentral.
UGGGGAAUAUUGCACAAUGGGCGCAAGCCUGAUGCAGCCAUGCCGCGUGUGUGAAGAAGGCCUUCGGGUUGUAAAGCACUUUCAGCGAGGAGGAAGGUGGUGAGCUUAAUACGCUCAUCAAUUGACGUUACUCGCAGAAGAAGCACCGGCUAACUCCGUGCCAGCAGCCGCGGUAAUACGGAGGGUGCAAGCGUUAAUCGGAAUUACUGGGCGUAAAGCGCACGCAGGCGGUUUGUUAAGUCAGAUGUGAAAUCCCCGGGCUCAACCUGGGAACUGCAUUUGAAACUGGCAAGCUAGAGUCUCGUAGAGGGGGGUAGAAUUCCAGGUGUAGCGGUGAAAUGCGUAGAGAUCUGGAGGAAUACCGGUGGCGAAGGCGGCCCCCUGGACGAAGACUGACGCUCAGGUGCGAAAAGCGUGGGGCAGCAAACAGGAUUAGAUACCCUGGUAGUCCACGCUGUAAAACGAUGUCGAUUUUGGAGGUUGUGCCCCUUGAGGCGUGGNUUCCGGAGCUAACGCGUUAAAUCGACCGCCUGGGGAGUACGGCCGCAAGGUUAAAACUUAAAUGAAUUG